RNAcentral lists this ribosomal RNA (460 nucleotides) under uncultured bacterium. RNAcentral describes it as "partial 16S ribosomal RNA". It matches the Rfam family "Bacterial small subunit ribosomal RNA", at positions 338 to 795 of the family's 1533-position model. The record is from RNAcentral.
CCUACGGGAGGCAGCAGUGAGGAAUAUUGGUCAAUGGACGCAAGUCUGAACCAGCCAUGCCGCGUGCAGGAUGACGGCCCUAUGAGUUGUAAACUGCUUUUGUACGAGGGUAAACUCCGAUACGUGUAUUGGGUUGAAUGUACCGUACGAAUAAGGAUCGGCUAACUCCGUGCCAGCAGCCGCGGUAAUACGGAGGAUCCGAGCGUUAUCCGGAUUUAUUGGGUUUAAAGGGUGCGUAGGCGGUUUGGUAAGUUAGUGGUGAAAGGUCGGGGCUCAACCGCGAAACUGCCUUUGAAACUGUUAGACUAGAGAAUAGUAGAGGUAGGCGGAAUGUGUGGUGUAGCGGUGAAAUGCUUAGAGAUCAUACAGAACACCGAUUGCGAAGGCAGCUUACCGAACUGUAUCUGACGUUGAGGCACGAAAGCGUGGGUAGCAAACAGGAUUAGAUACCCGAGUAGUC